UUAAUUUUUCCUGAGAACUCGAACUUUGCGAGAGAUAAAUUCUUCUUGAGCCGGAAUUUUUCCGGAUCGUCUUUAAAUUGGCAACAUUUAUUGAGCUAUGUCCAUGUAGCCCCCGAGUCUUUAAGACGACUCAAUGAGUUGGCUUAAGAUUCUCCAUAGUUGACCGUAAUAUAGACCGGUUUGAAUCCUGCAUGGGAUAACUUGCAAGUCAAAGUAAUUGCUCUUUGAAAGAAAAUAAUAUGUAAUAUAAAAUAUACUGGAUGGAUUUCAGCUGAUAUGUCAGGCUAGGGAUUAUCCACCGCAGAGUUGAUGAUCACUAUGGUGAAUAACUCUAUGAAUCAACCACGGGCGUGGUCCGACGAGUUGAUGUAGACCAAGCUGCACGGGCGGCGGCUUGCGUACACCCGUUCAACAGCAAGCGGGUGCGUACGCCGGUGCAUGACGAUGCUAACGUACACCCCAUAGGCAUAGCAUGGCACCAUCUUUAUCAUGAUUUCUUGCCCUGCACAUAAAAAUAUACAGACCAAAGUAGUUGUUCUCUGAUGAAAACAAUAUGUGUUAAUAAAAUAGAUUCAGAUAGAUAUCACCUGAUUUGUUUGGACCCUAGAUGAUCUGCCUGUAGCACCCGUAUAUAUCCUGGUGAUGUACGGCCCAUCCGGUGCAAACAGAGAAAUCUGACAAUCAGCCACUGUUUGUUUUUCUCUUGUGAGCUCUAUAAGGCCCCCUCCCUUUUUUUACUCUGGCUCUUUUCUUCUGGAUCACAUGAAUACUCGGCCAGCGGAGCACAAGUCGGCGGGCGCCCGUGUCGGCAGCUUGAGCCGGCGAAGCAAGCCAGGCGGCUCGACGCAGGGGAGUGCACCAGCGGCGGCUCUCGGACAAUGGCGGCGGACGGGGCCCUCGGACAGCGGUGAGCCGGUGAUAGGAUCUUUAGAGGCGCUGGCGACUCGUUGAAGGUGCGGCGGCAUGCGGCGGGGUCGCAAGGCCAGCGGCGAUUUAGCCGGGUUAACUCGGAGCAGCUACCGGCUUAGCGGCAGCAAGGGCGACCCACGCGGAUGGAGUGGAGGCGCGGCAACUCGCGGAAACCGCGACAGAAGCGGCACGAGGCCGGCUCGCAGGUGCGGUUAGCGACUUGGGCGCACAACCACCAAAGAAGUAUGAAGAUGCAGCCGUUCAAUGAUACACGUGGUGAUGAGGUGGCAAGGGAGCCCCCGACCAGCCGGGUUACAGCUGAGAUUCAGCAGCUGCUCGAGGCAAAAAACAGCAGAGGUGGCCGCAGGGCUGGGCAUCUCGGUGAAGCAACCCCGGCGCGGACGGAUGGGUGUAGAGCAGCUCGGCGGCUCAGGACCGCGGGGACGGCUCCACACAACGACAGAGGCGGAUGAGCGAGGCCGUUGCUGCAGUUGUACUGGUUUUGAAUCUUUCAUGAACCAGCACUCGCGUUCGAUGUAUGGAGCAGAGAUUCCUCAUCUCCCAAACAAAGCAAGUACUGCACUUAGCAUAUGUGUUCGAUGGAAGGCCAACACCAAGUAAAAGCCCCCAGAUGCUUGAUACAAUGCAGCAGCACCACGACGACGAAAAGACAUCAAUCGCCAAUCCCUAAAUAUCUGGCGGCGGCCGGCAAUGGAGGCGAGUCUGCUUUAGGCGGUUUGCUGUAGAAACGGAGGCACCCUGCCAGGAUGGAACGGCGCAAGGCGAACGCAGCUUCAACACAGCAGCGGCUCGGCACUGUGGCGGUGAUGGCCGGCCGGGUCAAUGCGUGGCAGAGGGUUGAGACGCAGUGCAGGCGUCGGCCGCGAUGCAGCCAGUUGGAGACAACACAGGGCGAUUCAACACUGAUGCGGCCCGUAGUAGAAGCCAGAACCGGCAGAGGUGACUUUGGAGAGGCGGCGAUUCAACUCGGCCGUGAUGGUCACUUGGCAACGACAUCUUGAGACCGCACCAGCGGAGGCGAGCAGCGGCUGCAAGGCCGUGUGUCGGAGGCGGACAGCCGAUGCGCAGCUACGGCCGCGGAAGGCGGUGACUCGGCGACGGCGGAGGCGGCUCCAGGCGCGGACGACGGUGCUGGUCAGGCCCCCGGCGACUCGAGGUGCCGUGGGUCAACUGAUGGACUGAUGGCUCAGAAACAAAGGCGGAGGGGGUGCUGUGGCGCCUCGCCCCUGCUACCGUUGAGACGCGGGCGGCGGCUCGUCUUGUGGUCAUCGAGGAAGCUGUGAUGGUGGAAUCCCUCCAGUGACUCGGAGCGAGGUUGAGGCGACGACGCUGUGGCAUAACUCGGCUGAGGUGGCGGUUCUGCGGCAGCUCAAUACUCUCCAGUGGCGGCUCGCAACGGCGGGUCAGAGCGGUAGAUCAGAGCGGCGGGUCAGAGGUAAUACUGGAGCAACGGUGAUUCACUGGCGGAUUGAAGCAAAUGGAAACGGCCCAAGGCACGGUGAACCUCGAAGGAGGUGGCGACUCAUCGGAUUCCAGGUGGGUGCGCGGUUGAUCAGUUCGAGUCCGGCUCAACGCGGGGAGGCUAUCCAGUGGCGGCUCAACGCGGGGAGGCCCCCCGGUGACGGUGCAAGGCGGGACAGCCCGGACACGGCAAGGGCAAGGCGGAGCAAGGUCGGCUCAGGGCCGGCCACAGCGGAGCAAGCGGCUCGGCGUGGCAAGCGAACGUCGGCGACAGGAGCGGGUCGGUGACGGCGACUUAGGGGAGGUGAGGCGCGAUCGUGACCCGGACGGGAAACGAGGCGUGACGGCGACUUUGGACUGAGGACCAGUCACGAUAGCCACUCGAACGGGAGGCAAAGCGCGUCCCGUGGUGGCCGAGGAGUCCGAGUCGUGGCCGUUCUGGCUAAUCCAUGUUUCUUUCUCCGAGUUAUGGUCGGUUUGACUUUUCCUUCCGUGCGGAUGGAUCAUCGUUUUAGUACUAUCUCCUCAUGCUGAUGGAUCAAUGGAUGGAUCACCUUUUGCCA
This is a non-coding RNA of Aegilops tauschii subsp. strangulata, 2954 nucleotides long. Lineage: Eukaryota; Viridiplantae; Streptophyta; Magnoliopsida; Poales; Poaceae. The record is from RefSeq and is a predicted model, not a curated record.